This 684-nucleotide long non-coding RNA is filed under the name Coffea arabica (coffee). Its description in RNAcentral is "long non-coding RNA (CARA_LNC007233)". The record is from RNAcentral. Lineage: Eukaryota; Viridiplantae; Streptophyta; Magnoliopsida; Gentianales; Rubiaceae.
UUCGAAUUAUAAUCGGAAUUGCGUCAUUGUCUGGUUAGAUCUAAAAUCCAGCACAGACGAGAGAGGUGGGUGGUGGCCUAAGCGGCUUUGCCUAACCUAUUUGAAAUUAUGAUGGUUACAUGGCCGCCGCCCCUGUGGUGCUGAAGCUGACUCAUGACGGCCCUGCUGCGGCCCUGCUGAUGCAAAUUACACGUCUUACUACUGCUAGUGAAAGCUUUUCCGGCCACCACCGCUUUUGAUUUUUUCUCAAUGUAUAUGUUCUGGGCUUUCUGGUUUGGUUUCUCCGUUAAAUGUAUUGCCUUCACCAACGUUCAAUGGAAAGUCAACUACAAAGCUCUUUCGGUUGAUGAAAAGAGAUGAGGAGCAGAGAUUUAGACUUUAUUGGAUGCGAUAAAAUGGUCAGGGGUCAUAUGGGAAUGUUUCGUACUGUUACCAGUUGUUGAAGCGCGUUUAAUCCAUGAAUCGUCACUGUGAGUGUUUUCCGUCUAUUUGACACUUCAACCCAAACCACAGGGGAUUUAUGUAUAACUUUUUAAAUUAUGGGGGGUUAUAUGGUUUUUGCGAAAACCACAGGAGACUAAAAUAUAAUUUGCCCUUUUUUUUUUGUUGUUGUAUAAUGGUGUUGAAGCGGAAGCCACCAAGCCCAGCGGCGGUACUAGGUGGGAGUGCUGCUUUUGUUUGGGG